UAUUAAAGUUGUUGCAGUUAAAAAGCUCGUAGUUGGAUUUUGGACAUCGUCGGUCGGUCCGCCUUAACGGUGAGUACUGACUGGUGAAGUCUUCCGGCUGAAGGCUAUCUGUGCUCUUCAUUGGGUGUAGGUAGAAUUCAGCCCAUUUACUUUGAAAAAAUUAGAGUGUUCAAAGCAGGCCUUUGGCUUGAAUACAUUAGCAUGGAAUAACAGAAUAGGACUUUGGUUCUAUUUUGUUGGUUUCUAGGACCGAAGUAAUGAUUAAUAGGGAUAGUUGGGGGCAUUAAUAUUUAAUUGUCAGAGGUGAAAUUCUUUGAUUUAUGAAAGAUUAACUUCUGCGAAAGCAUUUGCCGAGGAUGUUUUCAUUAAUCAAGAACGAAAGUUAGGGGAUCGAAGAUGAUCGGAUACCGUCGUAGUCCUAACCAUAAACUAUGCCGACUAGGGAUCAGUGGAUGUUUUUUUCGACUCCAUUGGCACCUUGUGAGAAAUCAAAGUUUUUGGGUUCCGGGGGGAGUAUGGUCGCAAGGCUGAAACUUAAAGGAAUUGACGG
This 550-nucleotide ribosomal RNA is filed under the name uncultured Cryptophyta. RNAcentral describes it as "SSU rRNA". It matches the Rfam family "Eukaryotic small subunit ribosomal RNA", at positions 602 to 1159 of the family's 1831-position model. Lineage: Eukaryota; Cryptophyceae. The record is from RNAcentral.